CUUCCAUUCAGACAAUAAGACAACUGCCUUACAAAACCAUUUACCAAAAAAAAAGUAUAAACGAUAAAGAGAGAUGUAUAAAUACACAGCCAAGACCAAUCGGAUGACAGUCGUUAAACUUGAUGUAGAGAAAAUGCAAAUAAAUUGCUCUAUACAUGAUAAAGUACCAAUGGAAUCACACGGCUCAGUAGAGGGGAUUUUUCUUGAUAAAUUUCCUUAUGAAUAUGCGUUUGCUUCGUCAAUUUUACUUAAACUUCAAUUGCCGCAUAAAUUUUUUAACACUUACGCAAACCCGUUCUGUUCUUCUUUUAGGUUACUAAAAUCUUGCUUUGUGAUAAAACAGCAAUGAUUCAUUAAACAAUUGCACAGAACAUGACACCUUAAAAAAUACCAUUCGUCGUUUUAGAAAACAUGUCUGUCUAGUUUGUUUUGAGGAUUCAGAUAUACAGAGUACCAUUGGGUUUCCAAUGAGUUCUAAUUAUAUGUCACUACUGUCCUACUGACCGACUUGGUUAAGUACUUAUAUGAAGCAGAAUGCAUGAAGAAUAAAGACAAUAAAAAAAACUCUUUCACAUUUCAUCUUUUUUCACUAAAAGAUGAUUUAAAGAUAUCAAUAAUCCACAUGCAAGUAGGUGCUUGCAUCUUAUUUAUCAUUUGCCUUUUUAGCUUUUUUUUUUAGAGCGUCACUGAUCAGUCUUUUGUAGACAAAACGCGCAUCUGGCGCAAAUACAAAUUUUCAAUCCUUGUAUCUAUGAUGAUUUUAUUCACAAUG
This 772-nucleotide long non-coding RNA is filed under the name Mytilus galloprovincialis (Mediterranean mussel). The record is from RNAcentral. Lineage: Eukaryota; Metazoa; Mollusca; Bivalvia; Mytilida; Mytilidae.